RNAcentral lists this unclassified non-coding RNA (265 nucleotides) under Hevea brasiliensis (rubber tree). The record is from RNAcentral. Lineage: Eukaryota; Viridiplantae; Streptophyta; Magnoliopsida; Malpighiales; Euphorbiaceae.
GACACAAGAAGCAGUAGUAGAAUCCGAGUGGAAGUCGUGUAAACCACCACCCCGAGACAUCAGCAUCAUCAUGUCGUAGUGGUGGGCCUGAGGUGGCAGAUUCCUGUGGGCAGAGAAGAGCUCAGCUGACGGUGGCUGUGGGAUUGCAGGGAAGUGGGUUGGCCUCCCACUGAUGAAUUGCCUGAGAUCUAUGCUAUACUGAUUAUGGUGAUUUUGAUCUUCCAUUUCCAUUUGAUUCUUGAAAGAAGGAAAAGAAGAAAGAAAG